CUCAAAGGUUGGAUAUAUGUUUCUUGUGUGAUUCAAAUUAACAUUUUGCAAAGAUAAAUGCUAAACUUUUAAGUUAUUUUUUGUUAUGAAGGAUUUUAAUUUGUACUAAGCAUAACGAUAUCAACAGUGUGUUUGAAAUUCUCUGCACAACAAUUGAUGAAAGACAAGCAAAGAUGAACAUCUUACAUAGCGUCAACAACACUUCGUUACCCGAACUGUAUAAUGACACAGAUUUGAAAACUGUCAUUGUUUAUGAAGCAGCACUAGCUACAGUAUUGACGAUUUGUGUUAUUUCAUCGUGUUUAUUCAAUAUAAUAAUUAUAAUUGUGUUUAUGAGAUUCAAAUGCCUGCGGACAAAACAUGAUAUGCUUGUCAUUAACCUUGCAUUUACAAAUCUAAUUAUAACUGUGGGAAUUUCGUUUUAUUCUACUUAUACAAUAGAACCAGGAGAUAUUUUUCACCAGAAAGUCGUGUGUAUGGGCUUGUUUAUAUGUAUAUUUGGAGGAAUACUCACGUCCUUAUUGGUGCUUCUACUUCUGAGUCUUGAGCGAUUUUUGUGCAUCGUCUACCCUCACUUUCAUGGCCGGAUCCGAAUUCGCCAUGUUAUAUUGUGCAGCAUCCUUGCAUACCUGGUAGGUCUGUCAUAUGCCAUUAUUCCAUUCAUAUUAAAGAAUAACUGGGACCGUUAUCAUCUUUGUGUGUUGGAUGUGUUUCCGUUUGAAUUCAGUAUUGCAGAACAGGUUAGUGGCAUCGUUAUUAUAACGACAAUUGUAACAAUUAAUGUUAUUGUUUACAAAACAGCUCUUUCUCAAGCGGCUAAAAUAAAUGUUUUACUUAAAAACGUACAGCAUAGGCACACAAGAAGCCGUAAAUUAAGACAAAAGGGGAAAGCUUUUGUGACUGUCUUUCUAUUGUCGGGUAUAUCAGCUGUAUGUUGGAUUCCUUUACUGGUAGUUUUCGCAUUAGAAUCAGACCCCAAUUUACCGGAGAAAUUUAGAUGGAUAUUCACUCAGUUACUGUACGUUCCGGUAGCGGUGAAUUCUUCUGUCACUGCCAUUAUUAUUGGACAUAGAAACAGGCAUUUCAGAGAUGCUAUUAAAUCUAUGUAUUGCAGAAAACAACACGAAUGUAUUCAGAACAGUACGUAUACCUUCUGAUUGAUAGUUAUUAUAUCACAGAAGUUAGCAGGGUUUUAGGUUUUGUGACUAUGUAUUCAAAUAUAUAUAUAUAAAUAAAUAAAAUGUUUGUUUAUAGAUACGAAAAAUAAUAGAGGGGUAACGUUAAUGAAACAGAACAAACAAAAUAUCAACCAAAAUAUACAUCUUUAACAGAUGACACUCAGAAACGGGCAAGCACUAAUGCAAGAUGACAAGCUGUCAGUAAGUAGUUAACUCCGUAAAACAUUGUAACUCUCUCCCGUUAAACCGUACUGAUUUUCAGUGAAUAUCAUUAUGGCUUAAUACUGAAGAGUAUUGCAACUCUCUCCGUUAGACCGACCUGACUGUUCAAUGAAUAUCCAAGCUUAUGGUUUUAUAUUCAAGAACGUUAAACUCUCUCCGUCAGAUUGUCCUGACUGUUUAGAAAUUAUCUUUUUUGUUUUAAAAUGGCGAACUAUUUAAAUAUCUCUGUUAGUCUUAAUUGUCUAUUAAGUGAAUAUCCUUAUGAUUUUAAACUAAAAACGUUGCAACUCUCUUUCAUAGACCGACCUGGAUGUUCAUUAAAUAUGCUUUUGGUUUCGUAAUGUAAAACUUUUGAACCCUCUCUGUAAGGCAUAUCCCAUUGUUCAGUGAAUAUCAUUAUGGUGUCAUAUUGAUAAACGUUGUAAAUCGCUCCUUUAGGCCGUACAGACUGUUUAGUGAAUACCGUAUAGCGGGUUAUGUUUUUGGGUGUUAAAUUUCGCAAUUUAGGGACAACAAAGUAAAAGAAUAAUUUUGGCGGUUUUUAUUUUGGCGAAUUCUUUAAUCGGAUAUUAAAAUUGGUUGCAGUUAAAAAGUUGUAAAAAUUGACAAACAAGUACCUUGUUAUGGUUAAAUGAUUGUUUUACCCGCGAGAAGUCUAAUUCAUUGAUUAUAUUUUGAUAGAGUUCAUCAAAAGAAUACCGGCACUAAAUUAUUUGUAUACAGAUGGCCCGAGAACAUAGUUUUUUGGUAGAGCAUUUUUUUAUACGAUAAGUUCAAAGUAUAAAAAAAAAUCGCACCUGGUCUAUCUCAAAAAGUUUUUUUAUUGUGUAGUGUACCACAAUUGCGACAAGUAAGAUUAAAAUUAUAAAAAGGUCAGCUAGCUCUAACUUAAAAUAUGGACAAUUCAAUGCUAAGUGGGUCUAAAAUAGAGUUUGACAGUUUCAGAGAUACUAAUGUUUGACCUUUUUUUAACUAGACCACUUCUUAACAUAAAGAAUCAGCACCCAAACGUUUCAAAUAAAGGCAACAGUAGUAUACCGCUGUUCGAAGUUCAUAAAUUGAUUGACGUAUAAUUUCAUCUCUUACUCAAUAUUCGUGAGUGAAAUAUCAAGAAAUAAAUUGGGACAAUGAAAAAUAUUUGCAAGUUAUCCACUGUUUACACCAGGUUUUAUAUUCGUACAAACUUUGUAAAAAAUAUUAGGACUGGUAGCUACGAAUUGACCGGACUUGAUGUAUAAUAUAGAUUAUAAAAAUUAUCAUGAGUGACUUACAACUUUUAGAAAAAUUAACACUUAUGAAUAAGGAUAAAAAAAAACUUGACAAAGCACCUUACACUCUUAAACAUAAAUCAUUUUAUUAUGUAACUAAUAAACUAAUUAACAUCUGACAGUCAGUGAACUAUGAUCUUUUGCAUUUAUGUUGUUCAAAUUCACAUAAACCAUUAUAGGUCCAACGAACGGGUAAAAUAGUUUGCAAAACUCUCUAUAGUUAUUAGAAAGAAUCGAUUCAACUUUCGCAGAAUUUAAUUUCGCGAUUUCCCCUUACCUGCCAAAUAAGCAAAAAUAAAUUAAAAAAAAAUAACCCGCUAAAAGGUGUCAUUUUGGUUUUAAACUAUAAAACGUUUUAACUCUCUCCGUUUGACCGUCCUGACUGCUCAUUGGACAUCCUUAUAGUUUUAUACUGUAAAACAUUGAAACUCUCUCAGUUAGAAAGAUUUGUUCAAUGAAUAUCCUUUUGGUGUUAUACUUCAAAACAUUUUUAAUCUCUCCGUGAGACCGUACUGACUGUUCAUUGAUUAUAAUUUUUGUUUUUUGUUUUUUUUUAUUUUAAAUAAAGGUAGCAGUAGUAUACCUGUGUACAAAAGUCAUAAAUGGAUUGGGAGAAAAACGAAUCUUGAUUAACAACCAAAACCGAGGGAAACACAUGAGCUAUAAGAGGAUAACAAAGGAACAACAGGAACACCGAAGUGCAACAAAACUAAACGCCCACACACAUAGAAACUAACUAUUUGAUAACAACUGCCAC
This 3425-nucleotide long non-coding RNA is filed under the name Mytilus galloprovincialis (Mediterranean mussel). The record is from RNAcentral. Lineage: Eukaryota; Metazoa; Mollusca; Bivalvia; Mytilida; Mytilidae.